CGGCCGCGGUAUCCUAACCGUGCGAAGGUAGCGUAAUCACUUGUUCUUUAAAUGAGGACUAGUAUGAACGGCUUCACGAAGGCUAUACUGUCUCCCUUAUCUAAUCAGUUAAACUAAUCUCCCCGUGAAGAAGCGGGGAUUCACAUAUAAGACGAGAAGACCCUAUGGAGCUUAAAACACCUCUAAACAUUUGACCUCCACACUACUAUUUUCAGAAAUCUUCACAAAGCCCGUCAUUUUGUUUUAAGUUUUAGGUUGGGGUGACCGCGGAGAAUAACCUAACCUCCACGUAGAAAGAACUUUCUUUUCUAAGCAAAAAGCUACAUCUUUAUGCAUCAACAUAUUGACCUAAUUGACCCAAUU
RNAcentral lists this ribosomal RNA (363 nucleotides) under Allobates sumtuosus. RNAcentral describes it as "partial 16S ribosomal RNA". It matches the Rfam family "Bacterial large subunit ribosomal RNA", at positions 1928 to 2425 of the family's 2925-position model. Lineage: Eukaryota; Metazoa; Chordata; Amphibia; Anura; Aromobatidae. The record is from RNAcentral.